This 74-nucleotide transfer RNA is filed under the name Teleaulax amphioxeia. RNAcentral's name for it is "tRNA-His". It matches the Rfam family "tRNA". From Rfam's summary of the family: Transfer RNA (tRNA) molecules are approximately 80 nucleotides in length. Their secondary structure includes four short double-helical elements and three loops (D, anti-codon, and T loops). The record is from RNAcentral. Lineage: Eukaryota; Cryptophyceae; Pyrenomonadales; Geminigeraceae.
GCGAAUAUAGUUCAGUUGGUUAGAGCAUUAAAUUGUGAUUUUAAAAGUCGUGAGUUCAAAUCUCACUAUUCGCC